This is a small nuclear RNA of Haplochromis burtoni (Burton's mouthbrooder), 133 nucleotides long. The record is from Ensembl. NCBI's taxonomy places the organism in Eukaryota, Metazoa, Chordata, Actinopteri, Cichliformes, Cichlidae.
AAAAAGGGCUUCUGCCAUGUUUGGCACAGAAGAGGUGGGGUCUCCACUUCUUUUGCGGAAUCGCCAUCAAGAGAUUUCGGAAGCAUAAUUUUUACUUCUGGGGCUGCUAAUGAUCACAUGUCUUGGCGCCCCA